This 537-nucleotide ribosomal RNA is filed under the name uncultured bacterium. Its description in RNAcentral is "bacterial SSU rRNA". It matches the Rfam family "Bacterial small subunit ribosomal RNA", at positions 29 to 526 of the family's 1533-position model. The record is from RNAcentral.
AAUGAACGUUGGCGGCGUGGAUUAGGCAUGCAAGUCGAGCGGUAGAGAACUGCUCACUUUGGGCUGUUUGGCUAAUGGCUAAUAGUUAACAGCUUCGAAGUGAGCAGUUCUUGAGAGCGGCGAAAGGGAGAGUAACGCGUAGUUACGUACCCCGGGGUCUGGAAUAGCCACGGGAAACUGUGGGUAAUGCCAGAUAACAUCUCCGGAUCAAAGGUGUGAUUCCGCCCUGGGAGCGGACUGCGUUGUACUAGCUAGUUGGUAGGGUAAUGGCCUACCAAGGCGACGAUGCAUAGCGGGUGUGAGAGCAUGACCCGUCUCACUGGGACUGAGACACUGCCCAGACACCUACGGGUGGCUGCAGUCGAGAAUCUUCGGCAAUGGACGCAAGUCUGACCGAGCGACGCCGCGUGUGGGAUGAAGGCCUUCGGGUUGUAAACCACUGUCGUAGAGGAGGAAAUUGGCCGGGGUUCUCCCCGGUCAUUGACCUAUUCUAGGAGGAAGGACGGGCUAAGUACGUGCCAGCAGCCGCAGUAACAC